AUGUGGCUCGUUUCUACUAUUAUCCGGUUUACAUGGUGCCCCACUGGUAAUAGAACGAACCCAUUUUCUAGGGCAGGGGCUGCUGCCAAGGUCGACGCACAAGUCAAUUUACAAACAAAACCAGUUCAGGAAUUGCUUGACCUCGAUUUGUUUGAAGACCAGCUACCCAGUGAUGGUGGUUCUGUUUUUGCAGCAUGCCAUAAGUCGUCAGCGCCUUGUGCAGCUGCGUAUAAGUGCUCAGACCCUGACUGCAAUGGGAUGGAUGCGUUCCUAGCUGAUGAUGUCAGUGAUACUUUGCAAGGAGAUAUGUCGCCUUCACAUGGACUUGCUGCUGUUCAGAAAACUGAAGACAUCCCCACUCCGGGUCUGACCACGACACCACCUCCUAAGAGCGAGACGGGAGGCUCUUUGAAGGAAAAUAGAGCACCACAUCACUCGGAGCUGCUGAACUUGUCCGAAGCGACGUCGCUCUUCUUUAAGAUGCUUGCCAGAGCUAAUUUAGGUCAUUGUACAGCGAAGUGCCAUCUUAUCUUGGCUGAAGAAACAGUCCUGCAUCGCUUCUGGGCGUGUCCGCAUUCAGCUAUGUUCUGGAAGGUGUUAAGCUCGGAGAAAGGGAAUCCGGUGGCGAUCCCGCCGGUGUCUGACGGACCCCAUGGAGAGCUUGCCUUGUGGCUGCUGCGAUGGUUUGUUGAUGCCGGUGACCAGGAGCGGGAGUUAAUGGUUCAGGCUGCGUACGGUCUUUGGCUCGCAAGGAAUGAAGCGAGGGAUGGAAAAAGACUGUGGACCCUAGGGUGGUUGCAGAGAAUAUCAGCAUAUCAUAGAAUGGACAGCCAUUCAUACAAAGCAACCGAGGUGCUCCUCUCCAGCACCGGAGCAAGGGUGGCUCAAGGCAAACUCAGACGGAGUUCUGUGGGGCGCCUGCAGCUGGCGAUCCAUGCUGGAGCUACCAGGGUGCACGUUGAAGUCGACAGCAAGGGAGUGACGGCCAUGUUGAAUGACCAGGCAAAAAACAUAAGUGCGGCAGGACUGUUCGUUGAAGAAAUUAAGCUGCUGGGAAGGUGUAGGGUGAUUAUAAAGCUUGAUGAUGAUUCUAAAAAAAAAAUCCCGUAUGCCUGUGCUGCAAAUGCACGAUGCUGCAACAAGGCAGGUGUUGCGCUAGGCGGGCAAGUGCACGCUGCUGCAACAAGGCAAGCGUUCCUCUAG
This 1203-nucleotide ribosomal RNA is filed under the name Triticum aestivum (bread wheat). RNAcentral describes it as "partial small subunit ribosomal RNA". The record is from RNAcentral. Lineage: Eukaryota; Viridiplantae; Streptophyta; Magnoliopsida; Poales; Poaceae.